RNAcentral lists this small RNA (111 nucleotides) under Candidatus Ventrisoma faecale. RNAcentral's name for it is "drum RNA". It matches the Rfam family "drum RNA". Rfam says of the family: Firmicutes, Bacteroidetes (1 example), Proteobacteria (2 examples), Spirochaetes (2 examples). Terminator (Clostridia) The record is from RNAcentral. RNAcentral also lists the same sequence under 1 other name. Lineage: Bacteria; Bacillati; Bacillota; Clostridia.
GGCGCAGAAACAUAACAGCGUACCGGAUUGCCUUGUUAUGCGGAGCUCACGAGAGGGGUUGUGCAGUGAAACCUCAAACCGGAGUAGGUAAACACCGAAAGAAAAUGCUCA